UUGCAUUGAUUUUUAGAGAUUUUCACCU
RNAcentral lists this non-coding RNA (28 nucleotides) under Mus musculus (house mouse). Lineage: Eukaryota; Metazoa; Chordata; Mammalia; Rodentia; Muridae. The record is from RNAcentral.